This 1338-nucleotide ribosomal RNA is filed under the name uncultured bacterium. RNAcentral describes it as "bacterial SSU rRNA". It matches the Rfam family "Bacterial small subunit ribosomal RNA", at positions 27 to 1381 of the family's 1533-position model. The record is from RNAcentral.
GGACGAACGCUGGCGGCGUGCCUAACACAUGCAAGUCGAACGGAGAUAUGAUUUCGGUUGUAUCUUAGUGGCGAACGGGUGAGUAACGCGUGAGCAACCUGACUCUUAGAGGGGGAUAACACUCGGAAACGGGUGCUAAUACCGCAUAAGACCACGACAUGGCAUCAUGACGAGGUCAAAGGAGCAAUCCGCUGAGAGAGGGGCUCGCGUCCCAUUAGAUAGAUGGCGGGGUAACGGCCCACCAUGUCAACGAUGGGUAGCCGAGCUGAGAGGACGAUCAGCCACACUGGAACUGAGACACGGUCCAGACUCCUACGGGAGGCAGCAGUAGGGAAUCUUGCGCAAUGGGCGAAAGCCUGACGCAGCAAUGCCGCGUGCGGGACGAAGGCCCUAGGGUCGUAAACCGCUUUCAGUAGGGACGAAAAUGACGGUACCUGCAGAAGAAGCUCCGGCCAACUACGUGCCAGCAGCCGCGGUGAUACGUAGGGAGCAAGCGUUGUCCGGAAUUACUGGGCGUAAAGGGCUCGUAGGUGGUUGAGUAAGUCAGAUGUGAAAUCUCAGGGCCCAACCCUGAGCGUGCAUUUGAUACUGCUCUGACUAGAGUCCGGUAGGGGAGUGCGGAAUUCCUGGUGUAGCGGUGAAAUGCGCAGAUAUCAGGAGGAACACCGACAGCGAAGGCAGCACUCUGGGCCGGUACUGACACUGAGGAGCGAAAGCAUGGGUAGCAAACAGGAUUAGAUACCCUGGUAGUCCAUGCCGUAAACGUUGGGCACUAGGUGUGGGGAGAACUCAACUCUCUCCGCGCCGUAGCUAACGCAUUAAGUGCCCCGCCUGGGGAGUACGGCCGCAAGGCUAAAACUCAAAGGAAUUGACGGGGGCCCGCACAAGCGGCGGAGCAUGUUGCUUAAUUCGAGGCAACGCGAAGAACCUUACCUGGGUUGAACUACGUGGGAAAAGCCGCAGAGAUGCGGUGUCCUUCGGGGUCCACGAUAGGUGGUGCAUGGCUGUCGUCAGCUCGUGUCGUGAGAUGUUGGGUUAAGUCCCGCAACGAGCGCAACCCUUGUCCUAUGUUGCCAGCGGGUAAAGCCGGGGACUCGUAGGAGACUGCCGGGGUCAACUCGGAGGAAGGUGGGGACGACGUCAAGUCAUCAUGCCCCUUAUGUCCAGGGCUGCAAACAUGCUACAAUGGCCGGUACAACGGGCAGCUAAACCGCGAGGUCAAGCGAAUCCCACAAAGCCGGUCUCAGUUCGGAUUGAAGUCUGCAACUCGACUUCAUGAAGCUGGAGUCGCUAGUAAUCCCGGAUCAGCAACGCCGGGGUGAAUACGUUCCCGGGCCU